RNAcentral lists this transfer RNA (86 nucleotides) under Desulfuromusa ferrireducens. RNAcentral describes it as "tRNA-Leu". It matches the Rfam family "tRNA". Rfam says of the family: Transfer RNA (tRNA) molecules are approximately 80 nucleotides in length. Their secondary structure includes four short double-helical elements and three loops (D, anti-codon, and T loops). Further hydrogen bonds mediate the characteristic L-shaped molecular structure. tRNAs have two regions of fundamental functional importance: the anti-codon, which is responsible for specific mRNA codon recognition, and the 3' end, to which the tRNAs corresponding amino acid is attached (by aminoacyl-tRNA synthetases). tRNAs cope with the degeneracy of the genetic code in two manners: having more than one tRNA (with a specific anti-codon) for a particular amino acid; and 'wobble' base-pairing, i.e. permitting non-standard base-pairing at the 3rd anti-codon position. The record is from RNAcentral. Lineage: Bacteria; Pseudomonadati; Thermodesulfobacteriota; Desulfuromonadia; Desulfuromonadales; Geopsychrobacteraceae. RNAcentral also lists the same sequence under 7 other names.
GCCGAAGUGGUGGAAUUGGUAGACACGCACGCUUGAGGGGCGUGUGGCUUACGGUCGUGCGAGUUCGAGUCUCGCCUUCGGCACCA